RNAcentral lists this ribosomal RNA (468 nucleotides) under uncultured bacterium. RNAcentral describes it as "partial 16S ribosomal RNA". It matches the Rfam family "Bacterial small subunit ribosomal RNA", at positions 28 to 507 of the family's 1533-position model. The record is from RNAcentral.
GACGAACGCUGGCGGCGUGCUUAACACAUGCAAGUCGAACGGAAAGGCCCUGCUUUUGUGGGGUGCUCGAGUGGCGAACGGGUGAGUAACACGUGAGUAACCUGCCCUUGACUUUGGGAUAACUUCAGGAAACUGGGGCUAAUACCGGAUAGGAGCUCCUGCUGCAUGGUGGGGGUUGGAAAGUUUCGGCGGUUGGGGAUGGACUCGCGGCUUAUCAGCUUGUUGGUGGGGUAGUGGCUUACCAAGGCUUUGACGGGUAGCCGGCCUGAGAGGGUGACCGGCCACAUUGGGACUGAGAUACGGCCCAGACUCCUACGGGAGGCAGCAGUGGGGAAUAUGGCACAAUGGGCGGAAGCCUGAGGCAGCAGCGCCGCGUGCGGGAUGACGGCCUGCGGGUUGUAAACCGCUUUCGCCUGUUACGAAGCGGGAGUGACGGUAAUGAGUAAAGAAGCACCGGCUAACUACGUG